RNAcentral lists this ribosomal RNA (253 nucleotides) under uncultured bacterium. Its description in RNAcentral is "partial 16S ribosomal RNA". It matches the Rfam family "Bacterial small subunit ribosomal RNA", at positions 524 to 776 of the family's 1533-position model. The record is from RNAcentral.
UACGUAGGCAGCGAGCGUUGUUCGGAGUUACUGGGCGUAAAGCGUGCGUAGGCGGUGUCUUAAGUUUGUUGUGAAAUCUCCCGGCUUAACCGGGAGGGUGCGGCGAAUACUGAGAUGCUGGAGUGCCGGAGAGGUAAGCGGAAUUCCUGGUGUAGCGGUGAAAUGCGUAGAUAUCAGGAGGAACACCUGCGGUGUAGACGGCUUACUGGACGGUAACUGACGCUGAGGCACGAAAGCAUGGGGAGCGAACAGG